Molecule: long non-coding RNA, 597 nt
Organism: Tachysurus vachellii
Lineage: Eukaryota; Metazoa; Chordata; Actinopteri; Siluriformes; Bagridae
Exons: 3
Source: RefSeq, a predicted model, not a curated record
ACACACACACACACACACACACACACACACACACACACACACACACACACACACACACACACACACACACACACACACACACACACACACACACACACACACCUAAACUGAGACAACAAAAAAUAAAAAAUCCCCUGUGAAUGUUUGUUGAAGUGAACAUACUAACGAAUGGAAAGCCCCUAAGUAAAAAAACUUUUUCUCAUAUCUUCAGCUUCAGCCUUAUUCUCUCAGUAUGAACGGAUUCGGAGUACCAGCUUGCUGUUAUGCCUUCAUCUUGAAAUCGAAGUUGCCUCGUGGUCGAUGUUCUCUGUAGGACUAAGAAAGACCUUUGUUCUGAGGUGUUUAACCGUUCAACUGGUCUGAGAUCUUGGUGAGAGUGAAAAUCAUACAUCAUUUUCCUCCUCAUUACACUACACAGUGCACUCCAGGUGGGGGCGGAGUCAUCCUGGGAGAGGCCACGCCCAUCAGGUGCAAUGGAACAAUACGUGCAGAGAACACAAGACUCACACUCCUUCAUCAUGCCGAUGUCGACGCAGCGCUUGAGGCGACAGGCUUGGCAGUGUCUGCGGUUGUCUUUGGUGAUAGUGCAGCUGCCGU